GCCUUGGUAGCUCAAUUGGCUAGAGCGUGGGACUUUUACAAAGGAUUUCAUCCGUUGGAACGAAAUCCCAAGGUUGCGGGUUCGACCCCCGCCUGAGGCG
Non-coding RNA from Hypoxylon fragiforme, 100 nucleotides. The record is from the annotation of a RefSeq genome assembly. NCBI's taxonomy places the organism in Eukaryota, Fungi, Ascomycota, Sordariomycetes, Xylariales, Hypoxylaceae.